RNAcentral lists this ribosomal RNA (468 nucleotides) under uncultured bacterium. RNAcentral's name for it is "partial 16S ribosomal RNA". It matches the Rfam family "Bacterial small subunit ribosomal RNA", at positions 28 to 507 of the family's 1533-position model. The record is from RNAcentral.
GAUGAACGCUGGCGGCGUGCUUAACACAUGCAAGUCGAACGGAAAGGCCCAAGCUUGCUUGGGUACUCGAGUGGCGAACGGGUGAGUAACACGUGGGUGAUCUGCCCUGCACUUCGGGAUAAGCCUGGGAAACUGGGUCUAAUACCGGAUAGGACGAUGGUUUGGAUGCCAUUGUGGAAAGAUAUUUCGGUGUGGGUUGAGCUCGCGGGGUAUCAGCUUGUUGGUGGGGUAAUGGCCUACCAAGGCGCACACGGGUAGGCGGCCUGAGAGGGUGUACGGCGGCAUUGGGACUGAGAUACGGCCGAGGCACGGACGGGAGGGAGAAGUGGGAAAGAUUGCACAAUGGGCGCAAGCCUGAUGCAGCGAGGCCGCGUGGGGGAUGACGGCGUUCGGGGUGUAGACUCCUUUCGCUAGGGAAGAAGCGAUUUUGUGACGGUACCUGGAGAAGAAGCACCGGCUAACUACGUG